This 253-nucleotide ribosomal RNA is filed under the name uncultured bacterium. RNAcentral's name for it is "partial 16S ribosomal RNA". It matches the Rfam family "Bacterial small subunit ribosomal RNA", at positions 524 to 776 of the family's 1533-position model. The record is from RNAcentral.
UACAGAGGGGGCAAGCGUUGUUCGGAAUUACUGGGCGUAAAGGGCGCGUAGGCGGCCUGUUAAGUCGAACGUGAAAUCCCUGGGCUCAACCCAGGAACUGCGUCCGAUACUGGCAGGCUUGAAUCCGGGAGAGGGAUGCGGAAUUCCAGGUGUAGCGGUGAAAUGCGUAGAUAUCUGGAGGAACACCGGUGGCGAAGGCGGCAUCCUGGACCGGCAUUGACGCUGAGGCGCGAAAGCGUGGGGAGCAAACAGG